This 138-nucleotide small nucleolar RNA is filed under the name Ornithorhynchus anatinus (platypus). The record is from RNAcentral. Lineage: Eukaryota; Metazoa; Chordata; Mammalia; Monotremata; Ornithorhynchidae.
CUUCUCUCAAGGUUGCACCUGGAGAGUUUCCAGUACUCUACGAAUCUUGGCUAUGGGAGGGAGAGUCAAGCAAAGGCAUACCCAUUCCAUUCCUAGCUUGGCCAGUGGCUAGAGAGUGGAAGACAAUCUGCUACAAAU